UGUAUCUUGUAUAGCCUCUUAAAACAUUUAUUCUAGUACCUUGUAAUCAUCCUAUCAACAAAUGUGUUUCCUCUUCUCUACACAUGAGGUCAGCAACCAUGUUUUAUUAAUCUUUGCACAUAUAUUAUUUAUUACUGUAUCUGGCACAUGAUAGGUACUUAGUGAAUGUCUAUUGAUGAGUAAGUCAGUAUAUUCAUUGUCUACUUUUAAGAUAAAAAUGUUUAUUUUUAUAGACAACUGAAUAUUUCUACCAUGGCUUCUUAGGAAAUUGAUAAAUUUAAUUGAUGUCUAUUAAGCCACCCUGCUUUAUUGCUUGAUCUUCACUACUAAAAAUAAUUGGUAAUUCUCAAUUCUGAUAGAAGAUUAAGAUUAUCUAAAUUCCUGGGUUUAACCUCAGAGAUGCUAGGUGAGGUCUAGGUACUGUAUUUUUAAUAGUUCCUCAGAUAAUUCAAAUGUGUGGCCAGGGCUGAGAACCAUGAAAAAUCACCGAAAACUGUGACUGCCAAGUCUAUUGCUCCCUUCUGGCUUUCUGGGGCUGAGUCCACUAGUGUCACAUUGUAGGUAACAGCUAACACAUUCAUGAAAAUUCAUCUGUAGAUCUACUCACUUCCUAAAUUUUCUUGCCUGUAUUGAAAUAAUCCGACAUCUCCCCUCUGUCCCUCACAUCUCUUAUAAUCAAUCAUAUGACAAUCUACUUAGUAGUCCACCAGUCAUGAAGCUGUUUCUAUUUUAUUUUAGUUUGAGAGACAGAGUGCAGGUAUUAUUAAUCCAGGCAUUUUGAAUCCAUGGAUUCAGGUAAGAAGCAUGACAUAUCUCUAAGUCUGAGCUAUUUCCAUGUGAAAUGUUAUCACAGUUGGCAGAGCAACAUUGGUAACCUCUUUGCAUGAGUAGAUGUGGAUUUUAUAAUUACUUAUGACUCUGCCUCUUUUAUUGUCUCUGGCUCUAGCCUUGGCAUUCUUUUAAUGUGCAUUUCUGUACAAAUUAGAAAAGCAAGAGUUAAGAUGUAGAACUUAGGUGUCUGGCCACAGAUGUUCAGAGCAAUUCAGCGUGUCAAACUGAGGUCAAAUGAAUAGGGAAUGUCAUUACUAAAUGGUAACAUUUUUCUGAGAGCUUUAAAGAAAUUCAAGUCCUUUUUGAAUCUACAUUAAAAAAAUUUUUUUUUCAGGGUGAUAGGUUGCACUUCUAGUUCUUGUGAGAAAUUUGUACAUUAAAAUGAUUUCAAAUUUAACUAUUCUAGAAAUCAACUUUCUAAAUAGCAUGUCAGGCAGCACCAGCAGAAGACAUACAGUUUUAUUUGAGAUAUAGAUUUUUUUUAAGCUCAAUGAGAUACAAUUUGUUUAUUUAUAAAGCUGAUGUGACUUAUGCCUGUAUAUCUUUGGGACAUAUUAACAGAGCCACUGGGGAUUAGAUCGUGUUUCCAAAUUCCAUGAUCCGAAUUCUAGGUAUCUUCUUAUAGCUCAUUAAGUUUAAAAUUUUACAAUAUUCAGAAGUUUAGGACAAACUUUAUACCAGUUUGGAAGCUAACAAAAUGAACUAUAUACCUGCAUACCCCUGCUGUGUAUUAUGAUAAUAUACUUUGAUAAACAGGGGAGUUGUAUAUAAAAAUUAUGCGUAUUUAAUGCAAAUGAUAGAGCAUUUAUGGUUCAGAAUUUGCAAAAACGGAUCAAGGACAAGCCGAGUUAUUAACAUUUUAGUGCACGCCAUCCCUGUCAUGCGUAUAAGGUACCACAUCACAUAGUGAACAAGAUAAAAGUGUGGAUUUGUACCUCUUAACUAUCUCUAGAAUAGAGGUAAGCAGAAAUACAGCUAAAUAGAUAGUGGAUUGGCUUAGCACACACUCUUGGUACCUCACAUGUAUCUUCAGACCUUUACAUUUCCGGCACUCAUGCUGAUUUCCAGUUGUUUGCAUCUCUAGCUUUUUGUCUAAAGACUUUUUCUGAAGCAAUGGAAGUAUGCUCAGCUCAUUUGUGAAGCAGGAUGGAGGGACAAGGGAAUUUUCUCUUUGUAGACACAGCCCUCAACCAGUGAUGGAUGGGAAUUGAUGGUUAAAUACUUCAGGUCCCUUUUCCACAAGUGGGAGAACUCUGAAGUAUGCAUUCUAUUCCAUCUCCCAGUUGGGGCAACUCACUGGAUUUAACACACCAAUAAACACCCUUUAUUGUCUUAUUGCUUUAUUGGCACUCUUUCCAUCUAUGUUACAUCCUGACUCCUGUACCAGCAUUUGCUGCACUUCCCAAACUUGCAAACAAAUCCUUGUCUUAAGGUCCACUUUUGGGAUAACUCAAACUAUGAAUAUUGACAAUGGUAUGUGCUUUUUUAAACUUUUGUUUUAAAAUGGAAACUUAUGGGAAUUGACCUAAAACAUAUUUACAAAGGGAUAUUCUAGGAACUUGGUGGCUUUGAGCAACUCACACCAUCUUCCUGAGCCUCAACUUCCUUAUUUAGAAGAAACAGAUGAAAUGAUUGAUCUUACUUUGAAAUUCUGUUAUAUUAAAGCCUGAAUAGGGUUUCUUUAUCCCUCAUCUUAGUAUCGUUUCCUCAAUUUAUGGCUCAAUGUUACAUCUCUGUGUUGGUAAAGAUUAGUCUUUCAGGGUCCUCCUAGCCAAUGUGAGUGGGGCUUCCAAAGCAUCUUCCUGCUGGAUGCAUUCUUUGAGUUCCUUGUUCUCACGUGUCAUCAGUACAGACUCUGGGUACCAUUUCUCCUACUGUUUCCCCCUCAUUUGAGGUUGAUAGUCAUAAUCUUAGCUACAGAGCCCCCUUCUCUGCAAAACCCCUCACUUUCUUCUCCUUCCCUCCCAGGUUUAUUCUGUCCUGACCCAAUCAGAGUCUGCCUCUCUGUGGGGGCUCCUGCAGUCGCUCCUUGAAAUCAGAUCAAAGUAUGAGCACUUGCUCCUCAAUCUUAUUUCAUUUGUAUGGUUUGUAAAAAAGGAUCGCAUAGCAUACUCAAUAAAUGUGUAGAGCAUGACAGGCUGAUUCUGCAGUUGAAGUUGGUGCCUUUUCAGAGGUUGAAAUAUUUGUGAGAACCACCAGCACAGCUUGUUUUCAGGGAAAUGGAAGUAAAGAAAUGUGAAGUAAGAGGGGAACGCAUACACUUUAAAUAUUUAUUUUUAAAAAUGCAAACAAGAUUGUUAUUUUCUAAGCUUUGGCUGGUCUGGAGAGGGCUGUCUCGGGUUUCCUGAGCACCUGCAGCUCUGCAGUCUGUCCUCUUGGCAGACAGAAAGGCAUUUUGAUUCUGGGUAUUUGUUUUCUUUUGCUUGCAGCUAUUCUUAGAUUUGGAAUAGACACGUGAAUAGAUAGUGUACUAUGGAGAGAGCCUUAUGGGGGCAACACAGCAUUAUUGUUGCUCAGAAGGGGCUUCCUGCAAAAGGGCUGUCACUCAUCAUGUUUUUCAGGUGGUUUAUCUCAAUUUAUCGAGGCUUUGACAUCCAGAGCCUCAGGAUCACAGUAAUUCCAACAGGCAUCUCACAAUCCAAAUGAAUGAGAACAGAUGUAGAGAUGUAUGUAAGUUCUAGGUAUUUUCACUUUGGUUUCAACUGGUUGUGAGUUUGUUUUCAUUUCUCUAUUGAUGCAGCACCCCCCAUUUUUAUAUUAUAUAAAUCUUAGGCCUCAAAAUGGUCUAUACAGUGUUGAGUAAACUUGGUGAUCUUAAAACAGUGGGUGAUAACUGUGUAUAUAUUAUGAUAUAAUACUAGAAGUUGGAGGCCAAGGAAGAAUCAAAUUCCUCAUACCACUCCCCCCCCCAAAAAAAUUAUCUGAUUGCCAAUGAGUGUAGGUGAAAAGUUUUUGAUAUUUGAUAGUGGAUAACAUGACGCAGACAAGAUUUUGGUAUUUGGCAUAGAAUCUGGCUUAGAUGACUUGGGAAAUAUAAAGACAGGGCAUGUGAUAGAACACUUAAAUGCAGUUCAGAUAUGUUCUACCAGGUGUAUAUGGUACAUAUACAGAACAAGAAAUAGCAGCAUCCCUCCUCUGUUUGUUUUACUUCCAGGGAAAGCUGAAGAGUUUCAGCAGAUUUUUUGAAACAAAUAAAGAACUUACUUCCAACAUUAGAACCUGACUCCUUAAUGAUCAACUUUGAGAAAGGAAGAAUCAUUGCUUUCUCUAAGAUAUAUCUGAAUACAAAUAUAACCAUGAAUGUACACAUCUUUUAAAGGAAUUAAAUAUUUUUUGUAUUUUCAUUUUUCAUAGUAAAAUCUUUAAAAAUAUUUGUUACUAGUUUUUUUCAUGAUUCAUUAUGUCCUUUUAAAUGUCCCUAUUUUAUUUUUGUUAUUUUUUAUCUUUCAUGGUGCAGUUGUCUUACAGCCAAUUAGUUGUGUAGCAAAACUGCUUGUGGUGAAAUUACUUGAAGCAAAGAUGUUUAAGGUGAAACUACCAGACUCCAUUUAUGUGGACUUGAUUAGGCCCAUGACUAAGCACUAAAGCAUUGAAACAAAACACUAGAACACAGAACCUCCUGGAGGAACCAGAUAGCCAACCGUCAAAGAAAGAGAGGUCCUCAACUCCCACCCCAGGAAUGAAUUAGGAUGACAGUGAUGUUCAAAUGCAACAAAACUUCCAGUGUGGGGUGGUGGACUUACUCAUAUCUACUAAAACAUGUGAUGAUUUUAGGGGUUUCCAAGUUACUCUAUUCACAUUUGUUCUGAGUAGGCUCAGUU
This 4652-nucleotide long non-coding RNA is filed under the name Sus scrofa (pig). Its description in RNAcentral is "lncRNA (ENSSSCG00000063475.1)". The record is from RNAcentral. Lineage: Eukaryota; Metazoa; Chordata; Mammalia; Artiodactyla; Suidae.